RNAcentral lists this transfer RNA (73 nucleotides) under Rickettsiaceae bacterium. Its description in RNAcentral is "tRNA-Gln". It matches the Rfam family "tRNA". Rfam says of the family: Transfer RNA (tRNA) molecules are approximately 80 nucleotides in length. Their secondary structure includes four short double-helical elements and three loops (D, anti-codon, and T loops). Further hydrogen bonds mediate the characteristic L-shaped molecular structure. tRNAs have two regions of fundamental functional importance: the anti-codon, which is responsible for specific mRNA codon recognition, and the 3' end, to which the tRNAs corresponding amino acid is attached (by aminoacyl-tRNA synthetases). tRNAs cope with the degeneracy of the genetic code in two manners: having more than one tRNA (with a specific anti-codon) for a particular amino acid; and 'wobble' base-pairing, i.e. permitting non-standard base-pairing at the 3rd anti-codon position. The record is from RNAcentral. Lineage: Bacteria; Pseudomonadati; Pseudomonadota; Alphaproteobacteria; Rickettsiales; Rickettsiaceae.
UGGGUUAUAGAGUAAUUGGCAACUCGGUACUUUUUGGUGGUACACACUGGUGGUUCGAAUCCAUCUAACCCAG